GGUUGGUUGGUGUAGUUGGUUAUCACAUCUGUCUCACACACAGGAGGUCACCAGUUCGAGCCUGGUAUCAAUCA
Fennellomyces sp. T-0311 is the source of this 74-nucleotide non-coding RNA. NCBI's taxonomy places the organism in Eukaryota, Fungi, Mucoromycota, Mucoromycetes, Mucorales, Lichtheimiaceae. The record is from the annotation of a GenBank genome assembly.